CUGACUUUGAGUUUCUCAUCAGGGCACAGCGGGCAAAGCUGGGGACCCAGGGAGAGACGUAAGUGAAGGGAGAUG
Molecule: microRNA precursor, 75 nt
Filed under: Procavia capensis (Cape rock hyrax)
Lineage: Eukaryota; Metazoa; Chordata; Mammalia; Hyracoidea; Procaviidae
Description: microRNA 711 (ENSPCAG00000019958.1)
Rfam family: mir-711 microRNA precursor family
Source: RNAcentral